CAAACAAGAUCAAGCGCCGAAGCAUGGCUUAAACAAAUGCAGACACUACGUAGUGCUCAAGGAGGGAUUAGUCACUUUCGUCCCAAACUAAUAUCCUACACAUCCCCAAGCCUACCUUACAAGCCCGAUAACAAAAAUUAUAUGAUCUUAUUUCAAGCGUUCUCAUAUUGGUGAAUGCUUACAUGAAGGCCAAGCUUAUUGUAUCUCAAUUGGGUGUAUUGAACAUCUUUCUGAGUGUGAUGGUGCUUCCCAAAAUGUCCUACAAUAUAAAUAUUUCAAAUGUGUCCAAAUUAGGACCUUCUCUUUUGGUGAGGGUACUUGGAACAUCAAAACCAUUGACUGAAGCAAGAUGAACAAAUCUUGUCGAUGCUUAGGUAUACAUAAGAUACCGCUUGAAUCUAUAAGAUUACCCACAAGCCAAUCUCGGUUAA
Molecule: long non-coding RNA, 431 nt
Filed under: Nicotiana benthamiana
Lineage: Eukaryota; Viridiplantae; Streptophyta; Magnoliopsida; Solanales; Solanaceae
Description: long non-coding RNA (NBEN_LNC003969)
Source: RNAcentral